UACGUAGGGGGCAAGCGUUGUCCGGAUUUAUUGGGCGUAAAGAGCGUGUAGGCGGCUUUACAGGUCCGUUGUGAAAACUCGAGGCUCAACCUCGAGACGCCGGUGGAAACCGUAAAGCUAGAGUCCGGAAGAGGAGAGUGGAAUUCCUGGUGUAGCGGUGAAAUGCGCAGAUAUCAGGAAGAACACCCGUGGCGAAGGCGGCUCUCUGGGACGGAACUGACGCUGAGACGCGAAAGCGUGGGGAGCGAACAGG
Molecule: ribosomal RNA, 253 nt
Filed under: uncultured bacterium
Lineage: Bacteria
Description: partial 16S ribosomal RNA
Rfam family: Bacterial small subunit ribosomal RNA
Source: RNAcentral